AGAACGAACGCUGGCGGCAUGCCUAACACAUGCAAGUCGAACGCGUGUAGCGAUACACGAGUGGCGGACGGGUGAGUAACGCGUGGGAACCUGCCCUGGAGUGUGGGAUAACCGAGGGAAACUUCGGCUAAUACCGCAUACGACCUGAGGGUGAAAGAUUUAUCGCUCUAGGAGGGGCCCGCGUCGGAUUAGCUAGUUGGUGGGGUAAAGGCCUACCAAGGCAGUGAUCCGUAACUGGUCUGAGAGGAUGAUCAGCCACACUGGGACUGAGACACGGUCCAGACUCCUACGGGAGGCAGCAGUGGGGAAUCUUGCACAAUGGACGAAAGUCUGAUGCAGCAACGCCGCGUGGGGAUGAAGCUUCUCGGAGUGUAGACCCCUUUCGACCCGGACGAAUGCCCGCAAGGGUUUGACGGUACGGGUAUAAGAAGCCCCGGACUAACGUACGUGCCAGCAGCCGC
Molecule: ribosomal RNA, 461 nt
Filed under: uncultured bacterium
Lineage: Bacteria
Description: SSU rRNA
Rfam family: Bacterial small subunit ribosomal RNA
Source: RNAcentral